GGUUGAACUCUAUUGAACCCAAACCAUAUUGGUUCAUGAUCUUAAAAAUUCCGGUUCAUUUACCGGUCCAUUUUUUAAAAGAAUGCAUAUUAGAGAACAUGUAUAAUUUAAUCACAUAAUAAGAGGACUAUAGUAAAUAACACGUUUAGAAAAAAUGUACAUUAAAUUAUUUCCCUACGAACACUUUUAACAAUUAAGUACAAAAAAAUAAAAAAAAAAUACUUUAAACAAUUUUAAUUGGAAUGGACCAAAAUUUAUGUCAAACUUGAUGGGUUCACAACAUCUGAUGGGCUAAUAAGAUUAAGAAAAAAAUUGCCCGAAAAUAAUUAUUAGCCAAUACUUUGUAAAACUAAUUACUGGGAACAAAAAAACCCUCGGUUUACAGGCAAUCAACAAUAACAAUUGUGAAUAAAUUCACGCACAGAAAGAAAAGGAAACUUGUUUUGAAAAUAUAAUCUCUAUUGAAUAAUAGAAGAUCUGUAACAUAAUUAUUCAUAAUUUGCGUGCCUAUGCAUGGGCAUUCAGGGUCUCAAUCGGGUUCGGUUUAGUUCAAUCGGGUUUCAGUUUUUUGGGUUUAUCAAAAUUAGCCUCAUUCGGGUUAUAGGGAAAAUCGGUUCAGGACCGGUUCGAGUUCUAUCGGAUUCGGGUCGGGGUUAGUAAAUCUUCAAAGAACCUGUAUAGCCCGAUGUACUUUCGGGUUCGGGUCCCAAUCGGUUCUUCGGUUUAAGUGUAUAUGAUUUAUAUCUACUUUAUAAACAAAAAUUAAGUAAAAUCGGUUCUUCGGUUUUAAAAUGCUUGAUUUGUACCUAUUUUAUAACCAAAACAUAAAUACAAUUGGUUGCAAAAAAAAAAGGAACAUCAAAUGUGAUCAUUCAAAAUCAAGUGAAAGGUAAACAUAGUCAUUGAUCGAAAGAAAACCAAAUAAAUAAAAGUAUAAAACGAAAAGCAAGUUCUCAUAAAAUGAAAAACAUUAUUCAAUGAAAACAAAACCAAAAGCUUCAACCUUCAACCGCCACCUUCAACCGCCACC
Molecule: long non-coding RNA, 1030 nt
Filed under: Brassica napus (rape)
Lineage: Eukaryota; Viridiplantae; Streptophyta; Magnoliopsida; Brassicales; Brassicaceae
Description: long non-coding RNA (BNAP_LNC002846)
Source: RNAcentral